CUCCGGCAAAGGGCAGGAAGCCCGAACCGGAGAAAAGGGCAGCCUCCCAAAGACAAUGGGAACGGCUCGGUUGCCAAGGCGCCCCUUGGGCCUUCCUGCGCAGACCUGAGGAGCUCGGGAGGACAUCAAGGCCUGGACUCGGGGUCCUGGCCGGGAGGCGCUGGGACGUCGGCUGGUCAUGGGGGAGGGGGAGGCCUCCAGGCAUGGGAGCUGCGUCCUAAGGGCAGCUUCGUAGGGAUCACCAGCGUGGAAAGCUCUUGGGAGAGGGAGCCCAGAGCUGUAGUAGCCUCCAACUAUCCCCUCCUUUCCAGCAGAAAUGAGCUUUUGGAAACCUUUCGCAGUUUCCCUCAGGACCAUUUGAAGGGCAAAUUAGAGAAAGAGAAAGGAGCUGUACUUUGGAUAAAAAAGUGGCUGAUGUUGCAGGGGGCAGCUCUGGGGCAGGAUUUGCUGGAGAAGAAAAUGACAAACUUUCUGGAGAGUUAUGGUGCUGGGGGUCACAGAGAGAUGGACACAACUGACCAACAACACCCUACAAUGGAAUAUAACUCUGAUGGAAAAUGACAUGUGGCAAAUACAUAGGAGAAAGAAAGUUUUGAGCAUCCAUAUUGGCCUCUGAACCUGCUGGAAGAGACCCGGAAGUCUUGGGGUGAUGAAGCAGUGAGGGUCUGGGCCUGGGGCUGGGCCUGGUGGGGCAGCUCACACUGGCUAUCUGUUGGCUAGGAGGCAGCAGGAAUGAGGGGAAUGAAAGGAGAAGAGAUGUGAGCAGAGAACUCAGAGGAGCUGGGCCAGGUGGUUCUAUGUGCCUUUACUCUCUCCAACCGGCUUUCCCUUUGUAAUAAAUAAUUAUA
RNAcentral lists this long non-coding RNA (848 nucleotides) under Monodelphis domestica (gray short-tailed opossum). RNAcentral describes it as "lncRNA (ENSMODG00000039029.1)". The record is from RNAcentral. Lineage: Eukaryota; Metazoa; Chordata; Mammalia; Didelphimorphia; Didelphidae.